Long non-coding RNA from Alligator sinensis (Chinese alligator), 709 nucleotides. RefSeq lists it as uncharacterized. The transcript is spliced from 3 exons. NCBI's taxonomy places the organism in Eukaryota, Metazoa, Chordata, Crocodylia, Alligatoridae. The record is from RefSeq and is a predicted model, not a curated record.
GAAAAGGUUCGGAGAACUUCGAUGAUUUGGGCAGUCCCUGGUGGCGGCAGCAUGGAGCUGCAGCUGGACUAGGAGCUGAGGCAGGACUGUGCCAGGGCUAUAGCUUCCUCUGCUUUUACUUUGGUUUGGAGUCUUCCUGGGGUCUCUGGGCUCCUCAGUCACAGCCUUGAAGCUUUCCUUGGCCCCUCAGUGGUCCUCUGCCUUCGAAUGUCACCCAACUAUCACUGAGCCUACCCCCCUGCAUACCUAAUGGAGCUUCUUACCUCUGGCAGACUUCCUAGCAGUGAAAACAAUGAUUUGUCAUGUCUUGAAUUAGCAUUGCCUUGACCUUCUCACAAGCUCCUCCUCCCCUUGAAGAAUGAUGCCCCAUCCCAUGCCCUGCCUGAAUGCUCUGAGUCUGACAUUGCUGUGACCCUGAGCUCCGAGGAGGACCUGGAAUCCUGAAGGCUGGGAGCUAUCACUGCCACCCAAAGCAGCUGAACCCAGUAUCCUUGUGUUGGUGGAGGUGGCAUGGACCUGAAAAAUGACAGUGAUCCCUGAUGCUGGACACCUCCAUGUCUGGACCCUACAGAGGAGCAUAUGGGACUUUCACUGGCCAGACCAACAGUGCCCUUGCGGGGCAGGGAUGGAGGGUGGCAUUGGGCUACAGUCUAUUCUACCACUCCCCCUUCUCUUGGGGCUUUACCCCCUCUUUCACCUCUUUGCUUGU